This is a non-coding RNA of Xylaria palmicola, 100 nucleotides long. NCBI's taxonomy places the organism in Eukaryota, Fungi, Ascomycota, Sordariomycetes, Xylariales, Xylariaceae. The record is from the annotation of a GenBank genome assembly.
GGUGAGAUGGCCGAGUGGUUAUGGCGCUGCGUUCAGGCAUCAGUCCGAACAAAACUUCGCAGUGGAGCAAUCCGCGUGGGUUCGAGUCCCACUCUCAUCA